GUGUCAUACUUAUUCUUUUCUCUCAUUCCACCGCCUCUGUUUUGCCAUCAACGAACACACACCGACUCUCUUCAGCAACUGGGGAAAAAAAGAGGAGGGGGGGGUGGAAAGUGGAAACCCUCUGAAGCAGAAAAGAAAUAUGGCAAUACUUUCGUUGUUGUCGUCGUUAGAAGCAGAUACUUCUGCGCUCUUGUCCACCGUGACCGUCGUCUCGGCCACUGCCACAACCUUGUUAUUAAUCUGCAAGUCUCGCCUCAUGCGCCUCUACUCCCACGAAAAGAACCUCAUAAGACUCCAUCAUGAACAACCUAAAAGCAAUUCAACUGGCAAGAUUCUAUUUGUUUCCCAAAUCGGAACCUCAAAAGCCCUAGCUUCGUGCCUCUGCGAUUUGUUCGAGACGUUCGGCGUCGUUAUGGAGCUUGUAGAUGCCAGGGAUUACGUGCCCGAAGCCCUACCCAAGGAGAACCUUGUCGUCCUCGUUGCUUCAACUUCGGAAGUUUGGAACCAAUUUCUCGGACAAAAUUUCAUCUUCACUGACAACCGUCCUCUCGGAGCAAAGCUGUUCGCCCGUUGGAUCAUCAAUUACGCGAAGGGCUGUAAGUUUGGAUCCUUAGUUGUGAAUGCUUACAGUUUCAGUGCGUUUGUCGCCGGCAAAGGGGCUUCUGAAGAUGACACGAAUUUGAUGGCUAAGGCUGCCAAUCAUAUUAGGGAUUUAGGGGACACUGUUGAAUUGAACGCGGAUUUUGACCGCUGGUGGGGAAGUGUUGUUGGGGUUUUGCAAGGUGCUGUUUCGGGAGGUGCUGCUGAUACCAUGUGCGGGGAAUAUGAUCCUGAGGAUGUUCGUUCUUCUGAUCCAAAGCUAUCCAUGACGCAGCGCUUAUACCUGUUGGUGGAAAAUUUAGAUCUUGAAAGCAAUCAUGUUGGGAAAUCAACCGUCACGCGCAGGAUGUUAACUAUAACUGAGGCCAACUUUAUUAAGAAUGGCACUGUUGAUCUUGAAGAUGGAGGUCAUGUAACUGCCAAAUGGCCUCUUAGAGAUGGUCUAUUGGUCGAUUAUCCAUUACCAUAUUGUCAAGGAUUUUGUUCUGUCGGUCACAGCUUCUUCUUUGCUGGUGGUAACCUGUCUUUUAUUGAUCCAGAAUUGUGUUUGAAUUUGGAUGAUCAUUACCCCUCAAGGAUGUGGUGCCUCAAGUAUGAGGGUUCUAAUUGGAGUUGGAAGUUUUGUGGAAGCAUGUUCUGCCGCCGAUUAAGACCCUUAGUAGUCCCCUAUGAUGGCAAAUUGUACAUCUUUGGGGGUGGUGGAAGUGCAAAUGGCUGGGUUGAUAUUUAUAGCCUAAAAUCAGGUCUAUGGGAAACAAGGGAAGUGCCCGAAAGUGCUCUCCUCUCAUAUUGCACGGACCCUGACUCUUACUUUCUGUGGGAGGACAGCACCAAGCCUUACAAGAAGACCCACAUUGUAUUGUAUGCUUCUCGUGGGAAACAUCAAGGGCUCGUGUCAUAUGACGUCAAGGCUAACAAUUGGGAAUACCUUGAUUGGAAUUUUCCUCCAGUUCGUGGAUCUUGUCCAAGGAAACUUGUUCGUUUGGGAUGCAGUCAUUAUCUUCUGAUUGUUGACUUCGCUCCAAUGUGGCAUAUUUAUGAUUUAUCUAAGAUGAAUGUUGUGGCAACGGUGGAGGUGCAUGGUUUGGACAAGACCGCACAAGUAAGGGAUAUUUUUUGUUGCCACAACACUAGCGAUGAAAGUUUGAUUUAUAUGUUCAUGGAACCUGGAAAUGUUUUCGAGGGAGAGCCAUUUACUUACUCUGGUUCUGGGGUUGUUUCUUAUGCCAGAGUCAAGCUCCAACUCAAAAACUUUUUCUGCCAAGAUUGAAUCCAAGGGUAAUCUUAACGUUGGUGAAUAUGUAAAUCUUUAUAUGUUUGCUGUUGGAGAUGAAGACCAAUAAUUAAAAUUACGUGCAGAAGAAGAGUUGCAUUAUUCUAAUCUGAUCGUAGUGUGCGUGAGUGAUUGAAUCGGAAUUGUGAUGAAAAGGGGAAAUUCAAGAGCAAGCCCUCUGGUCGCCACCAAUUCUCCACACCGGAAGAUCUCCGUAAGCAUCCCGUGUUCUCACUCUCACCUUCACUCUCAGUGCUCUGAAUCUCUCAAUCUUGCUCUGUCUCCUUCUCAUAUGCCAAUGCAGCAUACAGCCAUAGCAAAUCGUGAAAGCAAAAGAAGCCUUCAUUGAUUAGGUGCAAAUUGCAAAAAACAAAGCAACUGCUGUUGGGAGAUGCUACACUACUAGGCUUAGAGCAUAGUGGGGAAUCUGCAGCUAUAGCUCUAAUGUCUUGCAGUAUGGGGUCAAUUUUCCACAGCUCUCCUCUAGCCUUAACAGCCUCAAUUAGCAUUCCACCUUUUACUGAACCACUGUCAUCCCUGAUUACUGCAACCAUCAUCCCUGUUUUGCUGUGCUCUGAGAACGCUGCAUCUGUGUUGAUCUUGAGGCAUUCUUUGGGCAGUGGCCUCCACUUUACUGAUAGAGGUAGCAUACUUAGCAUGAAAACCUGCAGGUACCUUCUGCAUUUGGGCUAUGAGGUAACAUAUGUGCGGAAUUUCACUGAAGUUGAUGACAAGAUAAUUAAGAGAGCAAAUGAGAUUGGUGACAAUCCGUUGGACUUAAGCAACCGUUUUUGCCAUGAAUAUAAUGUUGAUAUGACUGAUCUUCAGUGUGAGAAACCUUCUCAAGAGCCUCGUGUUUCUGAUCACAUGGACGAGAUAAAGAACAUGAUAAGUCAGGUGUAAUUUUGCUAUUAAGAUUAGUGUCUUUUGCUUUAAUUCGAGUCUUUUAAUCGAAUCAUCCACAAUAGCAUUAAAAUAUUGAGAGUUUUGUGUGCUGUUUUAUAUUAGUUUAUUUCUUUUCUUAAGUGCGUUUGGAAUUGAUACGUUUAUAUGACUGAUGAGUAAAGUAUCAUUUUGGAUACUCUAGUAUAUUUUGUAUUUAAUCAUGUAAGUAUAUUAAAGAAAUAGGAAGAUUUAUUAGACC
This is a non-coding RNA of Arachis ipaensis, 3017 nucleotides long. The record is from RefSeq and is a predicted model, not a curated record. Lineage: Eukaryota; Viridiplantae; Streptophyta; Magnoliopsida; Fabales; Fabaceae.